CACACAAACCCCACAAACUACAAGUCCACCACCAGCUACAACACCUAAAAAUACAACAGCUCCCAACGUGUCAAACCAAAUUGUUAUUUUGAGAAUGAAGCUUUCCUCUCCAUCUCCACUAUCUGAAGAGUACAUCAGGAGUAUCGUUUUACAACAGAUUAAAGAUGAACUGGUGAGACAAG
Molecule: long non-coding RNA, 182 nt
Organism: Sander lucioperca (pikeperch)
Lineage: Eukaryota; Metazoa; Chordata; Actinopteri; Perciformes; Percidae
Exons: 3
Source: RefSeq, a predicted model, not a curated record